GACAGAGGGUGCAAACGUUGUUCGGAAUUACUGGGCGUAAAGCGCGUGUAGGCGGCCCGGAAAGUCGGAUGUGAAAGCCCUGGGCUUAACCCAGGAAGUGCAUUCGAAACUCCCGGGCUUGAGUUCUGGAGAGGAAGGCGGAAUUCUCGGUGUAGAGGUGAAAUUCGUAGAUAUUCGCAGGAACACCAGUGGCGAAGGCGACUUGCUGGGCUUGUAGUGACGCUGAGACGCGAAAGCGUGGGGAGCAAACAGG
Molecule: ribosomal RNA, 253 nt
Filed under: uncultured bacterium
Lineage: Bacteria
Description: partial 16S ribosomal RNA
Rfam family: Bacterial small subunit ribosomal RNA
Source: RNAcentral